AUUGAACGCUGGCGGCAUGCCUUACACAUGCAAGUCGAACGGCAGCACGGGUGCUUGCACCUGGUGGCGAGUGGCGAACGGGUGAGUAAUACAUCGGAACGUACCUUAUCGUGGGGGAUAACGCAGCGAAAGCUGUGCUAAUACCGCAUACGCCCUGAGGGGGAAAGCGGGGGAUCGCAAGACCUCGCGCGAUUAGAGCGGCCGAUGCCUGAUUAGCUAGUUGGAGGGGUAAAAGCCCACCAAGGCGACGAUCAGUAGCUGGUCUGAGAGGACGAUCAGCCACACUGGGACUGAGACACGGCCCAGACUCUUACGGGAGGCAGCAGUGGGGAAUUUUGGACAAUGGGGGCAACCCUGAUCCAGCAAUGCCGCGUGAGUGAAGAAGGCCUUCGGGUUGUAAAGCUCUUUUGUCAGGGAAGAAACACCGGCUCUAACACAGUCCGGGAAUGACGGUACCUGAAGAAUAAGCACCGGCUAACUACGUGCCAGCCGCCGCGGUAA
Molecule: ribosomal RNA, 501 nt
Filed under: uncultured bacterium
Lineage: Bacteria
Description: partial 16S ribosomal RNA
Rfam family: Bacterial small subunit ribosomal RNA
Source: RNAcentral